AGUAAAAAAAAAAACAUGUAGAUGAUGUCAUGAAAGUUGCGACAGUUGUCUUUUCGUUUUUUACAAAAAUAUCAUUGUUCAUUUAAUUUAUUAAGAUCACAUUCUGUAUACACUGAGAAUACUGUAAUCAUUUUACCAUCGAGUCCAGCUCUUCGAAUGCUUAGUAUCCGGAGUCUUGUGUCGCUGAGUUUGCCUGUCAAUGGAAAGUGAAAAACACACCGAGUGGAGUUCGGCUUUAGAUGAAGACUUAGUUCAGAAUUCAGUAUCUGCGGUGAUUCCGCCGGGUCCUAUCCCAUGGAGCCUGUCUGCCGGGCCCUGGUCCAUUGAGAGCAGCGUCCCAACAGUAUUAAAUCAAUACACUGAAGCACAGAAUUACAGCAGUUUUAUCCCCAGCAAUGAAACACAGAGCCAAACCGUACAGACCGAGAACUGGACAGAGGAAAGAUCUGCAAACACAAGUGAGGACUGGGAGUCAGACAUGUCAUCACGAAUCAGCUCUCUUAAAGAUGCCAUGCAUCAUAUUGUUUCAAAGACUGACAAAACAUUCAAAUUAGAGGUGAAGUAUAUCAGUGCAGCGAAAGGACGCGGUCUAUUUGCAAAGGGUUCCAUUAGCAAAGGUGAAUUUGUUGUUGAAUAUAGGGGAGAUAUAAUAAAUCACGCAGAGUUGGAGAGCAGAAGAAAACGUUACCACACUUCCAGUGCUGCAUUUAUGUUUGAGUUUAAGUGGAGAGGCAAAACAUGGUGUAUCGAUGCUUCUAGAGAAGAUGGAUCGUUUGGACGGAUAGUUAAUGAUGACCACAAACAUCCAAACUGUAAGAUGAAGAAGAUUGAUGUGAAUGGAAGGAUACACCUUUGUUUGUUUGCUCUGAAUGACAUUAAAGAAGGAGAAGAAAUUACAUACCAAUAUGGAGGAGAAGACUACCCUUGGAGAACACAAAAAACCAGCAUCGCUGCUAAUACCAAGGCAGAAAGUGACUCUAAACCUUCCCCCAAGUCAAAGAUGAAUAAUGCUACUUGUCAAAAUAACUCUCCUCAACAAAUUGUCACACAGCUCCGAAAUGAAAGUGAGAUUUUUGUUCCAAGACUGAGACAGACUAAUAGUAUAAUAAUGAAAGACAAAGAUCUUGAUGAUUCUGAUGAACUCUUUGAUUCUACACCAGAGAGUUCAGAUUAUUACAUUACAGAUACCACUUCCGAAAGUGACUUUGACACUGAUGCUAAUCUUAUACCAAACCAGACAAAACUUCAGCUUCUUUAUGAUGAACUGGAUGUGGAUGAUUCUGGCUCACUGAGCUCCCUUGACUGUGACACAGCAACACCAGAAAAAACGCACAGCCUUGCAUCUGAAGCAUCUGGAUCAGAAGAACCAUGUUCGAGUCAGAAUGCAAUGGAUGGCGUAGUUGUUAGUGCUUACCAAAAAAAAGGUGUUAGUAGAGUGUACAACAAGAGACAUUACUGCUUGUAUUGCUGUAAGCCUUAUGCUAAAAUGGCAAGGCAUCUAGAAGGUUCACAUGCAAGUGAAUCUGAUGUGGCUAAAGCGCUAAGCUUUCCAAAGAGUUCCAAGGAGAGAAAAAAACAGCUAGAUUAUAUUCGCAACCGAGGAAAUUAUGCUCACAAUGCUGCUGUUAUGGAAUCAGGAAAGGGGGAACUAGUGCCAUAUAAACGACCAUCCAAAGAAGCACAGGGAAAAGAUUUCAUGCAUUGUGCAUACUGUCAAGGCCUUUUUGCGAGAAAGGUCCUGUGGCGACAUAUGCGCACUUGUAUACUUCAACCUCAGUCUGUCCCCCUCAAACCAGGAAAAAAACGUGUUCAGUCCAUGUGUAUAUACACAGGCCCUGUUCCUUCAAACAUGACUAAACAACUGUGGGAAGUGAUUAGUGUCAUGAAUCUUGACUCAAUCACAGAUAUAAUAAAAAAAGACAAAGUAAUUAUUGCUAUUGGUCAGCAUUUGUUAAACACAGGUGGACUGUCAGCCAAGAAUAAGCAGUGUGUGCGAGAGAAGAUGCGGGAAUUGGGAAGGUUGGUUCACAAUGCUAGAAGAGUCACCUCUUUAAAAACAAUGGAAGACUGCGUAAAUCCAAGGAAGUACAUGGAGACUGUCAAAGCUGUCAAGUAUACAUGUGGGUAUGAAUCUGACAAGUUUAUGAUUCCAUCACUUGCAAAGAAGCUUGGGAAUUCUCUGCUUCAAGUAAGCAAACUGUUAAAAGCUCAAGGCUUAAUGUCAAAUGACGAACAGCGAGUGAAGAUUGCCAGUGAGUUUCAAGACAUCCAUCAAGAAAAGUGGAAUGAAAUGAUCUUAGACACGGCAUUGAGGAAUAUCAGGGAAGCCAAGUGGAAUGUGCCUGCUCUCAUGCCCUUUACUGAAGAUGUCCAAAAAAUGCACACACAUCUCAGUCAAGUGCAAGAUGAGUGCUACAAAUCACUAUCUGAAGGUUCCUCUACUAAAGCCUGGAUGGAGCUGGCAAAGGUUUGUCUAGCCCAGAUAAUUCUCUUCAACCGGCGGAGAGGAGGAGAGGUGGCAAGCAUGCCAUUGUCUGUGUUUUUUCCAAGAGACACUUCUGAUCCACAAGAGGGUGUGGACUGGGCGCUGUCCGAAGUAGAAAAAAACCUCUGCAGAUGCUUCUCAAGGAUUAUCACCAUGGGAAAGUGUGGUCAGCCAGUUCCGAUUCUUCUGACUCCAAAAAUGCUGUGUUCCUUAGAGCUCCUUGUGAAGCAGAGAGAACCUUGUGGGGUUCUAAAAGACAAUGGUUACAUGUUUGCAAGACCAGAAGCCAUGACACAUUUACGAGGGUCAGACUGCCUCCGUGGCUUUGCAAAGGCAUGUGGUGCAAAGUGUCCCAAAUCACUGACAUCUACCAGACUGCGAAAGCAUGCAGCUAUCCUUUCAACAGUGCUGAACUUGACAGAAAUGCAGAUGGACCAGUUAGCAAACUUUCUUGGACAUGUUAUAAAAAUUCAUUGUGAAUUGUUCCGAGUCCCUGAGAAGACCUUGCAACUCGCCAAGAUCUGCAAAAUUCUAAUGGCUCUUGAACAAGGAAGAUUAGCUGAGUUUCAUGGCAAGAGCUUGGAUGAAAUUGUGAUAGAUCCUGAUGAAAAAGUUCUGGAAAGUGAUGAAGACAGGAUAAUACAAGAGGGAUCAUCUGCUGUUUAUGAAUCAGUAGCAAUGGAGAUGCGUCCUUCUGCUGAGAGGAAAGACAUGCCACCACCACCCAAAAAACAUAAACCAUCAUUACCAUUACCACUUUCAGGAGCCAGUGCUGUGAGGUCUUCUUUUCAAGGUCAAACUACCCAUAAGAAAAAUCCCUGGCAGCAGACAGAGGUGCAGGCAGUGGAAAGACACAUGAUGCGAUUCAUCACAUCAUUUACUGUACCGGGAAAGACUGACUGUGAGAAGUGUUUAAAGGCUGAACCAGAAGCUCUAAGGAACCGGGACUGGAAGAAUGUGAAAUUCUUCAUAUAUAACCGUAUUACAGCUUAUAAAAAGAGUUUGCAGUACAAAUAAUAUGAAGAUUAUCAACUCCCUGGUAUGGCAUUGUUUUGUUUACAAUAGCCCUUUCUUCCAUUUGACUUUUGAGACCUUUAAAAACUUUAGAAAGAGUGGGCCCCACAGUUGAUGAUCAUAAAGUUUGUCUUCAUAAAAUGGAAACCUGUGUGUGUGUGUGUUUGUGUACAAGCUGUAUUAGUGAACAACACAUUUGAUGUCAAACAAAUAUCCUGAAAAAUAUAUUGAAACAUGAUGAGCAGUUUGAAUUUGAAGUGGUGCUUGAAAUGCUCAAAAAUGAGCCAGAACAUGUUUUCUUUUAGAUUUGUUAUGGGCUUGCAUGACAGUGUAACCAGUAUGUUUGUGUGUGCGUGUUUUGGGAAGAACUUCAGCCUUGGAACCCUGGGGUUUUUUGUUUUAGUGUUUGUGGAGUUUAUAAAUGUUACAGUUGAUUUUGAAAAUGUGAAUUUAUGUGCAGUAGUGUUCAAAGUAAAUAUUCAGUUUUUGUUUUUGUUUUUCUUUAUUUCCUGGAAUAAUAAUUUUCUUGUGGCGGUAGUGCAUGUUGGUUUCCAGCCGCCAUUAAAAACCAAGAAGUAGAAUUUUCUGAAUAAUCUCAGACUUUCAAACCCUUAUGUAUAUCUUCCUUUCUUUUUCUCUUUCUCUGUAGUGUGCUUUAGAAGACUGCAGUAUUGAGCUGAGUGAGCAGUAUGAGGCUCUUAUGAAGCAGCAUGCAGCGGAGCAGGAGGAGCACAACCUCCAUGUCCACAAUCUG
RNA transcript from Puntigrus tetrazona (Sumatra barb), 4253 nucleotides. It is a transcript of the gene named ring finger protein 214, with no coding region annotated. The transcript has 14 exons. NCBI's taxonomy places the organism in Eukaryota, Metazoa, Chordata, Actinopteri, Cypriniformes, Cyprinidae. The record is from RefSeq and is a predicted model, not a curated record.